CAGUUGGUUAGAGCGCCGCCCUGUCACGGCGGAGGUCACCGGUUCAAGUCCGGCCGGGGUC
Molecule: transfer RNA, 61 nt
Filed under: Bifidobacterium longum
Lineage: Bacteria; Bacillati; Actinomycetota; Actinomycetes; Bifidobacteriales; Bifidobacteriaceae
Description: tRNA-Asp
Rfam family: tRNA
About the family: Transfer RNA (tRNA) molecules are approximately 80 nucleotides in length.
Source: RNAcentral